Molecule: transfer RNA, 72 nt
Filed under: Camelus bactrianus (Bactrian camel)
Lineage: Eukaryota; Metazoa; Chordata; Mammalia; Artiodactyla; Camelidae
Also listed under: 1 other name
Rfam family: tRNA
About the family: Transfer RNA (tRNA) molecules are approximately 80 nucleotides in length. Their secondary structure includes four short double-helical elements and three loops (D, anti-codon, and T loops).
Source: Rfam by way of RNAcentral
GGGGAAAUAGCUCAGUGGUAGAGCACAUGCUUAGCAUAUAGCAGGUCCUGGGUUCAAUUCCCAGUGUCUCCC